UCAUAUGCUUGUCUCAAAGAUUAAGCCAUGCAUGUCUAAGUACAAGCCUCACUAAGGUGAAACCGCGAAUGGCUCAUUAAAUCACACCUAAUCUACUGGAUAGUUAACAGUUACUUGGAUAACUGCGGUAAUUCUGGAGCUAAUACAUGCACAAAGCCCCGAACUUACGUGAGGGGCGCUUUUAUUAGAUCAAAACCAAACGGCUUCGGCUGUUCUCUUGGUGACUCUGAAUAACUUUGGGCUGAUCGCAUAGCCUAGCGCUGGCGACAUAUCCUUCGAAGGUGUGCCCUAUCAACUGUCGACUGUGGCAUAGACGCCCACAGUGGUUUUGACGGGUAACGGGGAAUCAGGGUUCGAUUCCGGAGAGGGAGCCUUAAAAACGGCUACCACAUCUAAGGAAGGCAGCAGGCACGCAAAUUACCCAAUGACCGAAGGUCGAGGUAGUGACGAAAAAUAACGAUACGGGACUCAUCUGAGGCCCCGUAAUCGGAAUGAGUACACUUUAAAACCGUCCCCGAGGAUCUAUUGGAGGGCAAGUCUGGUGCCAGCAGCCGCGGUAAUUCCAGCUCCAAUAGCGUAUAUUAAAGUUGUUGUGGUUAAAAAGCUCGUAGUUGGAUCUCGGCGGUCUGAGGGCGGUUCACUUGCUAGUGCUACUGCCCUAUAGACC
Molecule: ribosomal RNA, 667 nt
Filed under: Gaetanus tenuispinus
Lineage: Eukaryota; Metazoa; Arthropoda; Copepoda; Calanoida; Aetideidae
Description: SSU rRNA
Rfam family: Eukaryotic small subunit ribosomal RNA
Source: RNAcentral